AGUUGUGACUACAACUACAUCUACUACAGUAACAACACGUCCCACAGUAACUGCUGGAUUAUUAUACAGAGUGAUUGUGAGUAUUGUUGAGAUGGCAGUGUUUGCUGCUCCUACUGUGAUUCUUCUUCAGAUCAUCUGUGCAAGAAGAGCUGGGAGGAAGAACUCGAGACACCCGGAGGAAAUAGAGAUGCCUGCAAUACAACAAUAAAAACUGAUAAAAAACUCUUCCUCCAUUUCUCCACGUCUGUCGCCAUGGUUACUGUGGUUGUAUGAGCAGAAACUGAGGGUAACGUGGAUAUGACGCCAUUGACUGGAAACUCCCUCAGCCCUGCUCACACGCCCCGUUUCCUUGGUUACCAUCGCAAUUUUCUCGUUUUUG
Pimephales promelas (fathead minnow) is the source of this 379-nucleotide non-coding RNA. NCBI's taxonomy places the organism in Eukaryota, Metazoa, Chordata, Actinopteri, Cypriniformes, Leuciscidae. The record is from RefSeq and is a predicted model, not a curated record.